UACGUAGGGCGCGAGCGUUGUCCGGAUUUAUUGGGCGUAAAGAGCUCGUAGGCGGUUUGUCACGUCUGCUGUGAAAUCCCGAGGCUCAACCUCGGGUCUGCAGUGGGUACGGGCAGACUGGAGUGCGGUAGGGGAGAAUGGAAUUCCUGGUGUAGCGGUGGAAUGCGCAGAUAUCAGGAGGAACACCGAUGGCGAAGGCAGUUCUCUGGGCCGUAACUGAUGCUGAGGAGCGAAAGCGUGGGGAGCGAACAGG
This 253-nucleotide ribosomal RNA is filed under the name uncultured bacterium. RNAcentral's name for it is "partial 16S ribosomal RNA". It matches the Rfam family "Bacterial small subunit ribosomal RNA", at positions 524 to 776 of the family's 1533-position model. The record is from RNAcentral.